This 455-nucleotide ribosomal RNA is filed under the name uncultured bacterium. Its description in RNAcentral is "bacterial SSU rRNA". It matches the Rfam family "Bacterial small subunit ribosomal RNA", at positions 340 to 786 of the family's 1533-position model. The record is from RNAcentral.
UACGGGAGGCAGCAGGGAGGAAUAUUGCACAAUGGGCGCAAGCCUGAUGCAGCCAUGCCGCGUGUAUGAAGAAGGCCUUCGGGUUGUAAAGUACUUUUCAGUCGUGAGGAAGGUGUUAAGGUUAAUAACCUUAGCAAUUGACGUUAGCGACAGAAGAAGCACCGGCUAACUCCGUGCCAGCAGCCGCGGUAAUACGGAGGGUGCGAGCGUUAAUCGGAAUUACUGGGCGUAAAGGGCACGCAGGCGGUUAAUUAAGUUGGAUGUGAAAUCCCCGGGCUUAACCUGGGAAUGGCAUUCAAGACUGGUUAGCUAGAGUCUUGUAGAGGGGGUAGAAUUCCAUGUGUAGCGGUGAAAUGCGUAGAGAUGUGGAGGAAUACCGGUGGCGAAGGCGGCCCCUGGGACAAAGGACUGACGCUCAUGUGCGAAAGCGUGGGGAGCAACAGGGAUUAGAUACC